RNAcentral lists this long non-coding RNA (115 nucleotides) under Ficedula albicollis (Collared flycatcher). Its description in RNAcentral is "lncRNA (ENSFALG00000028666.1)". The record is from RNAcentral. Lineage: Eukaryota; Metazoa; Chordata; Aves; Passeriformes; Muscicapidae.
CGGGAAAUCUCCAGCAGGGAAUCUCCACCCGGAAAUCUCCACCAGAAUCUCCACUGGGAAAUCUCCACCAGGAAAUCACCAGGAAAUGUCCAUUGGGAAAUGUCCAUUGGGAAAU